This 551-nucleotide ribosomal RNA is filed under the name uncultured bacterium. RNAcentral's name for it is "partial 16S ribosomal RNA". It matches the Rfam family "Bacterial small subunit ribosomal RNA", at positions 355 to 899 of the family's 1533-position model. The record is from RNAcentral.
UGGGGAAUUUUGGACAAUGGGCGAAAGCCUGAUCCAGCAAUGCCGCGUGUGUGAAGAAGGCCUUCGGGUUGUAAAGCACUUUUGUCCGGAAAGAAAUCCUUGGCUCUAAUACAGUCGGGGGAUGACGGUACCGGAAGAAUAAGCACCGGCUAACUACGUGCCAGCAGCCGCGGUAAUACGUAGGGUGCAAGCGUUAAUCGGAAUUACUGGGCGUAAAGCGUGCGCAGGCGGUUUGCUAAGACCGAUGUGAAAUCCCCGGGCUCAACCUGGGAACUGCAUUGGUGACUGGCAGGCUAGAGUAUGGCAGAGGGGGGUAGAAUUCCACGUGUAGCAGUGAAAUGCGUAGAGAUGUGGAGGAAUACCGAUGGCGAAGGCAGCCCCCUGGGCCAAUACUGACGCUCAUGCACGAAAGCGUGGGGAGCAAACAGGAUUAGAUACCCUGGUAGUCCACGCCCUAAACGAUGUCAACUAGUUGUUGGGGAUUCAUUUCCUUAGUAACGUAGCUAACGCGUGAAGUUGACCGCCUGGGGAGUACGGUCGCAAGGUUAAAA